Molecule: long non-coding RNA, 2273 nt
Organism: Gasterosteus aculeatus aculeatus (three-spined stickleback)
Lineage: Eukaryota; Metazoa; Chordata; Actinopteri; Perciformes; Gasterosteidae
Source: Ensembl
GAGAAAAACAACAACAACUGCACAUUUUACAAAACAAAAACAUGUGCGAUGAUGUAACACCUGAAACCGAACUGAAACCGUCUAAUUGCUAUUGUGGGCAACUAGUUUGAGUUUUAUUUUGAUCCUUUCGGUAGAAGUUUUCUCCUUAUGACAAAAAACAACAGUGCAAGAGUUACAUGAAAAAUUUGAGAAACAAAAAAAAAGGACAAAUAAAGGAGGUACAGCAAAGAAAAAGAGGUGGCCCGGAGAAUAUCCACAUAUUUCCAACAUUAUUUAGAGAGGCCACCCUGUCGGCCGAAAAGAAAAAUCUCUGUGGAAAUAUAACAUCUCCAAAAGCUGUCUUUGGGCUUAUUUCCUUCAGUAGGCAAACUCAGUGACGUGGGAAGAGGAGGAGAGGAAGGAGGGGUGAGGGAUGAGGGGUGUACCAGACAGAAGCAAACAGAGAGAGCGGAAGAGAGAGAGAGAGAGAGAGAGAGAGAGAGAGAGAGAGAGAGAGAGAGAGAGAGAGAGAGAGAGAGAGAGAGGGAGGGAGAGGAGGGCUGGUCUGUCCUUCUCUGCUCCAGCUAGCCUUCUAUCUUUGGCUGUACUCUCGCCCCAGCUGCUGCUGGUUCAAAGUACGGUCACUGGCAGCGAACCAGCGGGAGGGCUGCGAAAAAACACCCACGCAGCCACUUCACACACAGAGGGAAGCAAAAAGAUGUCUUUGGAACGCACAAAAGCCCCAGAGUCAAGCCAAGUGUCACAUAACUACCAGUGCUUCUAAGCUGCAUUUGCAUCGCGUUUUUCUGAUUCAAACGGAAGGACGUCCACGUGUGCAUGUAUGUCUGUGAACGCAUAUAUCUGGGUCUGCACGCGUUAUUUGUAUAGCUGGGUGGAGCUCGCUCUCCGUCGCUCGCUGCAGUAUCAACCGUUAACACUAUGAGACAUCAUGCUGGGUGCAGCUCGCAGCUGAUGGAUGUUCGUGUGAGCUUUUUGCACCCAAAUGGCGGCAGUACUUUAGCAUUGCUGAGGGGACUCGGCCGUGUCAUAGCAGGAGUAAUUGCUCAGGUCCCAAAGGAGCCAAAGUGUUGAGAGCGAAGCUGUUUGUGUGAACCAUUCCUCAAGAAAGCUGCCAGUAGCAACACCGCAGGUUAAGCAAAACAGACCUUGCAAACAGGCCCGUCUUGAAGAGGCGCUGCACUGACAGGUGAGAAAACAAAUGAGCGAUUAAUAGGGUCUCCCUGGAGAGCGCCAACACAGCCGCAGCCAGGGCGGUUCCGGCCAGUCAAGACCAGUGCAGCUGCAGCAUUAUGCAGAAGUGGAACCCGUGACAGUCAGGCGACAUCUCUACAUUUUCCCAUCACGCCCCCUGCGAUGUACAACGCUGAGACACCACGACCACAAACUUCCUCUAUCUGUGACAGCAACCAAGAAGAGCGGCCAAACAACCAGGGACCAAGGCCCAACCUUUGGGCGGCUCUGCUUCCUGUGAUGAAAAUACCGGUGAAAAAAAACAAAAUCUGUGAGAAGGUCCAGCGAGUUUCUCCUUUUCAGCUGAAUGACGACAUUGAAAGAAAACACUGAAGCAACCUUCAGCCACUUUGAUGACCUUUUGAAAUGGAUCGUGGGGCUAACGUUUUCCAUCUUAUAAUGAACUGUCCGGAUCCUUUGAAGUCUCAGCAGUCUACACCAGCAGUGCCUCCAAGCUGUGGAAGCCCUGGCGUUGUAUAACCAGUAGCCUGUUUUGCUAUUAACAUGUCUCACUAGUCGCCAUGAAAAAAGGAAGAACAAAGCCCAGAUCUCAGGAGAGCAGCUUUUUAAAAAUAUUUAUGUCACCAAUUGUGGCAUGUUGGAGCAGUUCAGUCAGCUUGCACAAUUUAAAGUCCAGCUGAAAAGCAGAGGACCCUGUGGACCCUCUUUGUGUUUACAUACUGUGCAAGUCUGACACUCUGACAUUUGUGAGACGGGAUGUCACACAGUCGUUGGCUGCACAUCAUUGUUUAUUUGGACAUUGUAGCUACGUGGUUAACCAUCACGCAACGUUUUGUUCCAAACGGCCUCAACGUGCAUCUUUGUCCCCAAUAUUGGCUUCCACUAUUUGUUCUAGUUAGUCGGACUGAUACUGCAUGCAAGUGAAUUUCCACGUGUCAUUAGAAGCAGCAUACUGUUCACUGUUAAGUGUGUAAGCGAAUAAGAAACAUUGUGAAAUGAACCAAGAGCUCCACUGUGAAAGGUCCCGACUGGGCUGUCAAGACUACAACUUUUAUUAUGUUGACUUUAUUACACUUUUUGAC